This 492-nucleotide long non-coding RNA is filed under the name Anas platyrhynchos platyrhynchos (common mallard). RNAcentral describes it as "lncRNA (ENSAPLG00000027995.1)". Lineage: Eukaryota; Metazoa; Chordata; Aves; Anseriformes; Anatidae. The record is from RNAcentral.
GUGGUGUUAAUCGAAGGAUCAAGCUUGCAGUAGCUUCUCCUGAUCUGAGGGAUACCUUGAGAAGUGCAACCUACAGCAGAUCUCUCAUGGGCUGCCAGAUGUGUUUAGGGCACCAGGAAGUCAACAGAAAGCUGUCCCCAGUGUUCUUCACUUGGCAUCACCUUGUGAACAAGCACCAAGUCUCGAUGAAUGGGAGGGGACUCACGACUUCCACCUGGAGCACGGUGUCUAUUCGAUCCACUCUGGAGUCUCAGCAGGAAUCGGAAUUCAUCCUGCAGGUCUUCUCCAGGAGGCACGUUAUUAGACAGAUGCAAAUAACAGGAAUGGCAAAUAAUGGUUGGCAUGUGAAGAGGAGCUGGAUGAUGAAGUAUACUGCGACAGCAAUACUGACAUGAAAUUGAAAGGAACUCCUGGCAAACAAAUUAAUCAGCUAGAGCAGGACACACUACUGCAUAUGCUGGAGGUUUUCUGGGUAUGGAUAUUGCACACAUU